CCUACGGGAGGCAGCAGUGAGGAAUAUUGGUCAAUGGGCGCGAGCCUGAACCAGCCAAGUCGCGUGAGGGAAGACGGUCCUAUGGAUUGUAAACCUCUUUUGUCGGGGAGCAAAAGACGCCACGCGUGGCUUUCCGACAGUACCCGAAGAAAAAGCAUGGGAUAACUCCGUGCCAGCAGCCGGGGUAAUACGGGGGAUUCGGGCGGUAUCCGGAUUGAUUGGGGUUAAAGGGUGCGCAGGCGGACGAUAAAGUCAGCGGUAAAAUUGGGAGGCUCAACCUCGUCGUGCCGUUGAAACUGGUUUUCUGGAGUGAGUGAGAAGUAUGCGGAAUGCGUGGUGUAGCGGUGAAAUGCAUAGAUAUCACGCAGAAUUCCGAUUGCGAAGGCAGCCUACCGGCGCUCAACUGACGCUCAUGCACGAAAGUGUGGGUAUCGAACAGGAUUAGAUACCCCAGUAGUC
Molecule: ribosomal RNA, 459 nt
Filed under: uncultured bacterium
Lineage: Bacteria
Description: partial 16S ribosomal RNA
Rfam family: Bacterial small subunit ribosomal RNA
Source: RNAcentral